Molecule: long non-coding RNA, 314 nt
Organism: Eurytemora carolleeae
Lineage: Eukaryota; Metazoa; Arthropoda; Copepoda; Calanoida; Temoridae
Exons: 2
Source: RefSeq, a predicted model, not a curated record
CUCUAGCUUUCCUCAAAGCAGGACCUAGGUCUUUGCAGAGGCGCUUUCAACUGUAACUAGGAGUACAGGGAGACAGAGAAAAAAAUGGCAAAUCCAAGUUAAACGUACACACAUAAGAAACUUAAGAAUGGAAAUACGGGACUCGCUUAGCAUUAGAGGCAAAAGCCAACUACUUCAUCUGAGUGCGGGUUACUAUAGACUGCCUUCUUUUCUCCGACUUUUUGCUGGUUUCAUUCUAUGCUCGGACUGAGCGCAUUUCUCCGUCUCUGCGUAGAGUAGACGGACAGUUUUAUGAAUACUAUAACAACACUAAA